This 1287-nucleotide ribosomal RNA is filed under the name Vibrio sp. JF24. Its description in RNAcentral is "bacterial SSU rRNA". It matches the Rfam family "Bacterial small subunit ribosomal RNA", at positions 67 to 1354 of the family's 1533-position model. The record is from RNAcentral. Lineage: Bacteria; Pseudomonadati; Pseudomonadota; Gammaproteobacteria; Vibrionales; Vibrionaceae.
CUUCGGGGACGAUAACGGCGUCGAGCGGCGGACGGGUGAGUAAUGCCUAGGAAAUUGCCCUGAUGUGGGGGAUAACCAUUGGAAACGAUGGCUAAUACCGCAUGAUGCCUACGGGCCAAAGAGGGGGACCUUCGGGCCUCUCGCGUCAGGAUAUGCCUAGGUGGGAUUAGCUAGUUGGUGAGGUAAGGGCUCACCAAGGCGACGAUCCCUAGCUGGUCUGAGAGGAUGAUCAGCCACACUGGAACUGAGACACGGUCCAGACUCCUACGGGAGGCAGCAGUGGGGAAUAUUGCACAAUGGGCGCAAGCCUGAUGCAGCCAUGCCGCGUGUGUGAAGAAGGCCUUCGGGUUGUAAAGCACUUUCAGUCGUGAGGAAGGUGGUGUAGUUAAUAGCUGCAUUAUUUGACGUUAGCGACAGAAGAAGCACCGGCUAACUCCGUGCCAGCAGCCGCGGUAAUACGGAGGGUGCGAGCGUUAAUCGGAAUUACUGGGCGUAAAGCGCAUGCAGGUGGUUUGUUAAGUCAGAUGUGAAAGCCCGGGGCUCAACCUCGGAAUAGCAUUUGAAACUGGCAGACUAGAGUACUGUAGAGGGGGGUAGAAUUUCAGGUGUAGCGGUGAAAUGCGUAGAGAUCUGAAGGAAUACCGGUGGCGAAGGCGGCCCCCUGGACAGAUACUGACACUCAGAUGCGAAAGCGUGGGGAGCAAACAGGAUUAGAUACCCUGGUAGUCCACGCCGUAAACGAUGUCUACUUGGAGGUUGUGGCCUUGAGCCGUGGCUUUCGGAGCUAACGCGUUAAGUAGACCGCCUGGGGAGUACGGUCGCAAGAUUAAAACUCAAAUGAAUUGACGGGGGCCCGCACAAGCGGUGGAGCAUGUGGUUUAAUUCGAUGCAACGCGAAGAACCUUACCUACUCUUGACAUCCAGAGAACUUUCCAGAGAUGGAUUGGUGCCUUCGGGAACUCUGAGACAGGUGCUGCAUGGCUGUCGUCAGCUCGUGUUGUGAAAUGUUGGGUUAAGUCCCGCAACGAGCGCAACCCUUAUCCUUGUUUGCCAGCGAGUAAUGUCGGGAACUCCAGGGAGACUGCCGGUGAUAAACCGGAGGAAGGUGGGGACGACGUCAAGUCAUCAUGGCCCUUACGAGUAGGGCUACACACGUGCUACAAUGGCGCAUACAGAGGGCGGCCAACUUGCGAAAGUGAGCGAAUCCCAAAAAGUGCGUCGUAGUCCGGAUUGGAGUCUGCAACUCGACUCCAUGAAGUCGGAAUCGCUAGUAAUCGUGGAUCAGAA